Molecule: ribosomal RNA, 966 nt
Filed under: Triticum aestivum (bread wheat)
Lineage: Eukaryota; Viridiplantae; Streptophyta; Magnoliopsida; Poales; Poaceae
Description: partial small subunit ribosomal RNA
Source: RNAcentral
AUGUGCGCGCGGGGGCCAUCCGCCAGGGACUGGUCCGAGAUGCCCCUGGACGCUCUCACCUGCGUUUUCGCCAAGCUCGGAGCCGUCGAGCUCCUCAUGGGCGCGGGCCUCGUGUGCCGCUCCUGGCUCCACGCCUCCAAGGCGCCAGAGCUGUGGCGGGCCGUGGUGAUGUCGCGCCCGCCCGACACUCCGGAGGGAACGGAGGCCUUCCUGCGCGCCAUAGCCAAGGUGUCAUCUGAGCUGCGGCCGUCUGUGCUGAUAACGGGCAUCGAUGACCCCUGGAGCGCCAUGGUCAAGGUGGAUGACUCCUUGUGUGCCAUGGCCAAGGUGGCUGUCGACCGCUCCGGCGGGCGGCUACAGAAGUUUGUGGCGAGGGAUUUCGGGACCGAUGAGCUCCUGGAAUACAUUGCGGACAGGUCGCCCUCUCUGAAGAGCCUUGGCCUGAUGCAAUGCCACGACAUCUCCGAGAAAGGAUUCAUGGACUUGAUAGUAAAGUUCCCUCAGCUAGAAGAGCUAGUUCUUAUUGAGUGCCACAACAUUUCUGAUGAUCAGAAGGAGAACCGUGACGUGUAUGAGGCCAUUAGCAGAGCAUGCUCACAGUUAAAGCUCUUUGUGCUAGCCCACCCGGGGUACUUUCUGCAUCCGAACGGCAGCUACGGCUUCCAUGAUGGGGAUGUGCUUGGAAUCGCUACGAUGAAACAGCUGCGGCACCUUAGUCUUGACUGCGUCAACAUCAACAACGCGGAACUGGUGAGCAUCAUUGAUAGCUGUCCUUACCUCGAGCAUCUCUGCAUGCGCAACUGCUACAACAUCGUCGCCGAUGAGGCACUACGAGCAAAGUGCGCCAGGAUCAAGACUCUAAAGCUUAAACCCAUGUCUGUUGAAACUGCUUCUAAUGAUUGUUGCUUCGUUUUUUUCGAUCCACCAGUUGACGAGUUCGUCAUACUUUCUUUCUUUGACACCUAG